CAAGAAGAGACCCUAACCGGUCCUCUCCACCCUGCCCAUCGUACCCUUUUGUGUUGUUCCCUCGGCGAGUGCUCUGCGGGCCCGCCGGCGGGAAGAUCAAACGAAAACUCCUUUGCGAAACAAGCAUAUCGAAAUCUCUGAUCGAAUACAUGAAUUAGUCAC
This 162-nucleotide unclassified non-coding RNA is filed under the name soil metagenome. Its description in RNAcentral is "partial internal transcribed spacer 1". The record is from RNAcentral.